Molecule: transfer RNA, 73 nt
Filed under: Pangasianodon hypophthalmus (striped catfish)
Lineage: Eukaryota; Metazoa; Chordata; Actinopteri; Siluriformes; Pangasiidae
Description: tRNA-Glu
Source: RNAcentral
UCCCUGGAGGACUAGUGGUUAGGCCACAGCGCUCUCACCGCUGCGGCCUCGGGUUCAUUUCCCGACCAGGGAA